RNAcentral lists this ribosomal RNA (257 nucleotides) under uncultured bacterium. Its description in RNAcentral is "partial 16S ribosomal RNA". It matches the Rfam family "Bacterial small subunit ribosomal RNA", at positions 793 to 1055 of the family's 1533-position model. The record is from RNAcentral.
GUACACGCCCUAAACGAUGAUUACUCGAUGUUAGCGAUAUACAGUUAGCGUCAAAGCGAAAGCGUUAAGUAAUCCACCUGGGGAGUACGCCGGCAACGGUGAAACUCAAAGGAAUUGACGGGGCCCGCACAAGCGGAGGAGCAUGUGGUUUAAUUCGAUGAUACGCGAGGAACCUUACCCGGGCUUGAAAGUUAGUGAAUGAUACAGAAAUGCAUCAGUCCGCAAGGACACGAAACUAGGUGCUGCAUGGCUGUCGU